RNAcentral lists this long non-coding RNA (619 nucleotides) under Elaeis guineensis (African oil palm). RNAcentral describes it as "long non-coding RNA (EGUI_LNC025176)". The record is from RNAcentral. Lineage: Eukaryota; Viridiplantae; Streptophyta; Magnoliopsida; Arecales; Arecaceae.
GAUCAUAACCUAAGUUCAGAUAUCAUUAGAAUUACAAUUCUGAAUAAUUAUAACCUUAAACUCAAAUACCACUUAAAUCAUAUUUUCUAGUGAUCAUAACCUAAACUCUAAUAUCAUUCUAUCAUACCUUUAAUGAUCCAAAUCUUAAACUCUGAUAUUAUCAAUCAUACUCUAGUGAUUAUAAUCCCAAGUUUUGAUAUCACUUAUAUGACAAUCCCUAGUGACCUUAAACUUGGCUCUAGUACUAUUCUGUCAUAUCCUAAUCACUUAUAUCAUUGUCUCCAAAUGAACGUAACCUAGGCUCUAAGCUCAGAUGCCACUCUGUCACAUCCUACUGAUCUUACAUAAAGUUUUAAUAUCUCUUCAUAAUCUCUAGUGAUCUCAAACCUAAGCUCUGAUAUUAUUCUAUCACAUCCAAAUCAUUUAUAUUGUAAUCUCCAAUGAUCAUAAUCUAAGCUCUGAUAUCACUCUAUAAUAUUCUAAUCACUCAUAUCAUAAUCCCUAAUGAUCAUAUCCUAUGCUCUGAUACCAUUCUGUCACGCCCCGAACCCAACACCCGGGUCGGAUACGUGAUGGCCGCACACUCCUUAGAGCAAGCCCUAAAAAAUAUGCAAGGCCA